AACACUGUUAACCUGCGGUACCUGCGGAAGGAUCAUUACAAGUGACCCCGGUUUACCACCGGGAUGUUCAUAACCCUUUGUUGUCCGACUCUGUUGCCUCCGGGGCGACCCUGCCUUCGGGCGGGGGCUCCGGGUGGACACUUCAAACUCUUGCGUAACUUUGCAGUCUGAGUAAACUUAAUUAAUAAAUUAAAACUUUUAACAACGGAUCU
Molecule: unclassified non-coding RNA, 212 nt
Filed under: soil metagenome
Description: partial contains 5.8S ribosomal RNA, internal transcribed spacer 2, and large subunit ribosomal RNA
Source: RNAcentral